GAUGAACGCUGGCGGCGUGCUUAACACAUGCAAGUCGAGCGAAGCAGUUAAGAAGAUUCUUCGGAUGAAACUUGAUUGACUGAGCGGCGGACGGGUGAGUAACGCGUGGGUGACCUGCCCCAUACCGGGGGAUAACAGCUGGAAACGGCUGCUAAUACCGCAUAAGCGCACAGAGCUGCAUGGCUCAGUGUGAAAAACUCCGGUGGUAUGGGAUGGGCCCGCGUCUGAUUAGGCAGUUGGCGGGGUAACGGCCCACCAAACCGACGAUCAGUAGCCGGCCUGAGAGGGCGACCGGCCACAUUGGGACUGAGACACGGCCCAAACUCCUACGGGAGGCAGCAGUGGGGAAUAUUGCACAAUGGGGGAAACCCUGAUGCAGCGACGCCGCGUGAGCGAAGAAGUAUUUCGGUAUGUAAAGCUCUAUCAGCAGGGAAGAUAAUGACGGU
Molecule: ribosomal RNA, 446 nt
Filed under: uncultured bacterium
Lineage: Bacteria
Description: bacterial SSU rRNA
Rfam family: Bacterial small subunit ribosomal RNA
Source: RNAcentral